UAACCUUUGACCUGAUUGAAUCCAGUGGC
RNAcentral lists this non-coding RNA (29 nucleotides) under Mus musculus (house mouse). The record is from RNAcentral. Lineage: Eukaryota; Metazoa; Chordata; Mammalia; Rodentia; Muridae.